Long non-coding RNA from Apus apus (common swift), 1022 nucleotides. RefSeq lists it as uncharacterized. Lineage: Eukaryota; Metazoa; Chordata; Aves; Apodiformes; Apodidae. The transcript has 3 exons. The record is from RefSeq and is a predicted model, not a curated record.
CCUUCUGCUUGCUGGACAGAUGCUGCUGUGAGCAGCAGUGAGUGAGCACUGCCUGGCAUCCUCUGCCAAACUUCUCAGGUGCUGCCAGACUCCUUGAUAUAAUAAAAAGUCCAGAUUGUGUGGUGAAGGUCUGGCCUGCCUGGCAUUCCUGGCUGAGGCUGGACUGGAGGGAGCAGAGAACUUUGCUUCCCAGGAUGCUGGCACUGGCCUGGCAACGUUUGGGAGGUUGUUGGCAGGGUGUGAGCACUCGCUUUCAGUGCUCUGCUUGUCAGGGCAACAGAAAGAGCUCGGGGCUUGGGUAGCAGGAAGGCAGGCUGCCCUGGCUGCUCCCACAAACAGGCCGUCCCCACCCUCUGGCAUUUCCAACCUUGUUGUUUUUCGUCAUCCAGGAGCAAAAACUUGCUUGUGAAAGUGGAGUGCAGCCUGGGGUGGAGAAAUGAGAGAGAGGGUCAAGGCAUGUGGCUUUGUACUGAGGGCAGAGAGGGGACUUUCGUUGUGCAGGUCCCUGUCUGUCCCCGCAAGGACCCUGUGUCGAUCAGCCUGGUGUCCUGAGCCUGUCACCUGCUGCUCUUCUGGCUCCCAGCCACGGGGCAGAGCUACUGCAAAGGCUCUUUGCAACUCUCACGCGUCCAAGGGUGCUGGAGAUGCUCCAGCAAUGGCAGAUCUUCCCCCUUCAGCCUGUCCUUGGAGGCAGCAAAGGGCCUGUCAUGUGCCCAUGCCUGGAGGAGCAACCACUGUGGCACACUACUCCAUGACCACCACCUGCCACACCUUUUGGGUAGGACACUUCAGCCCGAGAUAACCAGCCUACCUGACUUGUGAAGAGGGGCAGAAAGCAACCACACGGACAGGCACUCUGGAGCAUCUGUAAUUUGCAGCAUUCCAUGGAAAUGGGCAUCUAUCUGCUCCCUAACAGCCAUGGAUGCACCAGGGCUGAAGCCUCUCCAGAGACGUGGUGGCCCCUGAGAAAGAGAGACUUAACACUUUUGAUCUCUACACAGCUCUUAUUUGGGGAGAAUGAG